This is an RNA transcript of Panicum virgatum (switchgrass), 3582 nucleotides long. RefSeq lists it as uncharacterized. The record is from RefSeq and is a predicted model, not a curated record. Lineage: Eukaryota; Viridiplantae; Streptophyta; Magnoliopsida; Poales; Poaceae. The transcript is spliced from 2 exons.
AGGCUGGGCAUUCAACCGACCUCACCCAAAAACCAGGUGGGGUGCCCUGCAUCCGAUUGAACCCAACCCAACAGAGCUUGACCUGCCUCCGGGGUUCCUCCGCCGCCGUCGUCGAUGGCCGACCUAGCGGUGCUCACGGACGACGUCCUAGCGGAGAUCCUCCUUCGCGUACCUUCGCCGCGGGACCUUGCGCGCGCCUCCGCGUCGUGCGCCUCCUUCCGGCGGGUCGCCUCCUCCUCGUGCUUCCUCCGCCGCUUCCGCCCCCUCCACGCGCCGCCCCCGCUCGGCGUCUUCUGCUGCUACCCUGCCGGCCGUGGCGGCACGGCAGGAUCCCAGUUCCACGCAGCCCUGUCGCCUCACCCCUCGGCGCCCCUCGCCCGCGCGGUCGCCAGUUCAGCCGACUUCUCCUUCGCCUUCCUCCCGCCGCCCGCCGACGACUGGCUCGUCCGCGACAGCCGUGACGGCCGCUUCCUCCUGGACCGCACGCGGGAUGGCUCCACCGCCUUCACCGAGGUUGCCAUAUGCGACCCUCUGUUCCGGAGGUACCGUCUGCUCCCGCCCAUCCCCGACUACCUCGCCGCCUCCGUGGGAAAUCCCUACGUCCAGCGCGGCGGGGAUGGUGAGUCGCAAUCACGAAGCAACGAAAUAUUCCUGGCUUCUCGUAGUCAUGACAGUGUCAAUGAGGAGGACCCGGCGUUCACUGUGAUUUGGAUGGCAUGCUGUCGAGGGAAGCUGGUCGCGUUCUUCUACUCGUCAGAGUCACAGCAAUGGUGUGUGCUUUCACCUCCAGAACACUACGCUCUGAGCACCAGAAGAGUCAUGGGCGUUCGUCUAGGACAGCGCAACCAUGCUCAUGGUUGUUUCUACUGGAAGGUAGCCCUCACGCAUAGGUGGCUUGUGUUGGACACCUGCAAAAUGGAGUUCUCUGUCAUAGACAUCUCGCUUGUCCUGUCAGGCUGUGUGAUGAUGUUCAGUAAUCAAAUUACCACUCUGGAGUCAAGUGAUGGCAGGACUACUGUUGUGGUCUCUGAUGUUUUCCGAUCAGAUAAAAGAUGUGUGCUGUACUUUUAUGCAUUCAUGUAUUUCAGGGACUCGUGGCAGCUUCUGAACAGAGUGACCUUGCCUGAGGAAUGGGGGUAUCGAUUUAGAGGCAUUAUAGGUUCUGCUGAGGGAUACUUAUUUAUAAAACUAGAUCACCCUAAGGAGAACCUGAAUGAUCAGAGCGAGCGACAUGUGGAAUAUUUUUCACUUGAUGUCAAGACCAUGCAGCUUGGGAGUUUCUGUCGGACAACCCUUACUGUCAGCGAAGCCUACCUGUAUUGUGGUUUUCCUCCAUCGCUAUUGCUUCCUUCUAUAUGAUUAGGUAUGUUAUGCUCUGAAGUCCUAACUUACAAGCGCCAUUUAUGCAGCUUUUGUGAUGAGUCAUAUAAGAUACUGUUUGGUAGUAUGCUUAUGUCGUUUAAAUGGUUGUUCUUUUAUCACUUAUCAGAAGCAAAAUAUAUAUAUUCUUUGAGGCCUUGCAUCACUACACUUUUUUCUGAAACUGAUCCUACCCAGUUAUUAUUUGAUAGUAUUCCAACAAUUUUACUACUUUUACAUCUAUGUUCCAAUGAUUGUUCUUGUCUAUUAAUAGUAUGGAAUAAACAAUUGUACUUGGAGCUGGAGGCUUGCCUAUAUUUAUACAAGUUCUUUUUUUUUUCUUUUUUCCUUGUUGGCCACUUCUCAUGUUAGGUUUCAUCUCUAGCCGACCAGGCAACCACAACUUGCUUGGGACUAAAAUGGAUUCUUUGGUAUUUUUCCAUCACCAUACUCUUAGUUGAGAUACAAUGAACAAACAAAAAGGAAGAUAAAGGAGCAUAACAUCCUAUCAAUUGCAAAUGAUUAAGAUAUCAUGUGAAACUUUUUUUUUUGAUACACUGGAGUGGCAGCUGGUGCACAUACGGUUUCAAUUCACAGCUCACUUGUCUCAUUUGAGAAAAGGUUUUCAAAUAGGACUACUUAACCAUGGAAUUCAUAUACCACAGGUGGCCGGGGCUGUGUAUGGCAACAACCCAGGAGGAUAGAGAUAUGGUGGAGAUCAAUUGGUUGAGAUUGUUAGGGCCAGACUAAGCUCCAUAUUAAUAGCAUUUAGCUGCUGUUUGAACUAAACAAUCUAUCUAGUCUCCCUGUUUCCAUCUAUCAUGCCUUUGUUGGUAAGGUAGCUGACAACUGUGCCUAGGCCUCCCAUGGCAAUAUACCCACAAACAGACCUGCUUAAAAAGCAUUCCUUUUAGCAUAUCCUAGAUCUAUAUGCUACCCUUAUUUAUUUCAAGAGCAGCAAAGACAAAGUGAUUGAGGGAAUAAACCCCUUAAAAACUUAAUGUAUGUGAGAGCUUAGAAACCUUUAGUAAUUAUGAACCAUUGACUAACCUGAAGCAUCCCACUCUCCCUUUUACCAUGAGGAAAUUCUUAUUUAUUUUUUCAAAGGUGAACUUAUCAGUAUGAAUCUUUGUAAUACCAAAAUCUACCAGGGGAUAACUUGGUUUAGCAACAUAGUGUACAACUGAAACAUCACAUUGUGGAGGUACCGUGCAAAAGUCACUUCAGUUUCAAUUUAAGGAUUCCAAGCAUCCUGUAUUCAUGAUGUCAUCAUUGUGUUCUCAAUGAAACCACUCUUUACACUUGCAUUUGCCAUCAGUUUUAAGAUAAUCUCAAUAUUUCAGAAGUCAACCCCAUUAAAACAAAGCUUGCGGCAGUUGCAAAGGUUUUGACGGCUCAAUUUGGCUCAAUUUUUGUGUGACCUCACAUUUUUUUUUUUGAAAGCUAUGACCUCACAAUUUGCUGCAAAGCUAUUGAUGGCACCACUAUUUUGAAGAUUUAGCACACCUUUCUAUAAUCUAUAUAUGCAAAACUUGCUUAGAUGCUUUUCGUUUGUAUAUAUAGAUAGAUCAAUAGCUUUUUGUGCCAUUUGAAGUGUUCGCUGUAAAACCAUCUGAUGCCCUUGCUUACCUAAAUGAGUUAUCAUUUAUGAACUACAGAGGUGAUAAAUGUGGAUAUUCUUGAUCUUGCUAAUUUCCUUGGCCUUGAAUUUUGGUGAGCAGGAUUACUGUGAUAGAUGAGUGCCAAUGACAGUGCCAUUCCUGUCUUCUCUGCGAGGACUUCGAGUGAAGGAAAAAAAAGAUCAUUGCGAUCCUUGAGAAAUGCAGGAGUGCUGUUGAUCCUUGUGAUUAAUUUCACUAUCUCAACGGGGGGAUCUACUACAAAAUCUAUUAGGCUGGCCCUCUUGUAUUUCAUAUUGUGGAUCAGAGGCUCACAGUAUCAGACUGGUGACGAAUAUUGAUAUGAUGGAGCAGUGAAGCAAACUGGGUUGAGCUUUAUAUGGUGUUGUUCCUCGGUGGCCAUUAUGGCACUACAAGAUGUUUAGUUUGUGAACUUCACUGCAAUAGGUUUUCCUUUGUUUCAAGAAACUACUUGUUAGAGCUGUAGCAACAGAAUCGUUCCCUUGAAAACAUGUAAGCAUUUACUGUUAACCUCUCUGUAACCUGGUAAACCCAACAACACUAUUUCUUUGCUUUCAUAAUGUGUCACCGCUGUUUUGCUAAA